GGGGGGGGGGGGGGGGGGGCCGGGGGGGGGGGGGUCGGGCGGGACCUUCGGGUCGAGUGGGGCACGGGUGCGGAACGCGUGGGAACCUGCCCUUAGGUUCGGGAUAACUCCCCGAAAGGGGUGCUACUACCGGAGAAUGUCUUCGGACCAAAGAUUUAUCGCCUUUGGAUGGGCCCGCGUUGGAUUAGCUAGUUGGUAGGGUAAAAGCCUACCAAGGCGACGAUCCAUAGCUGGUCUGAGAGGAAGAUCAGCCACGCUGGGACUGAGACACGGCCCAGACUCCUACGGGAGGCAGCAGUGGGGAAUAUUGGACAAUGGGCGAAAGCCUGAUCCAGCAAUGCCGCGUGAGUGAUGAAGGCCUUAGGGUUGUAAAGCUCUUUUACCCGGGAUGAUAAUGACAGUACCGGGAGAAUAAGCUCCGGCUAACUCCGUG
RNAcentral lists this ribosomal RNA (433 nucleotides) under uncultured bacterium. RNAcentral describes it as "partial 16S ribosomal RNA". It matches the Rfam family "Bacterial small subunit ribosomal RNA", at positions 38 to 507 of the family's 1533-position model. The record is from RNAcentral.